RNAcentral lists this ribosomal RNA (809 nucleotides) under uncultured Pseudoalteromonas sp. RNAcentral describes it as "bacterial SSU rRNA". It matches the Rfam family "Bacterial small subunit ribosomal RNA", at positions 64 to 869 of the family's 1533-position model. The record is from RNAcentral. Lineage: Bacteria; Pseudomonadati; Pseudomonadota; Gammaproteobacteria; Alteromonadales; Pseudoalteromonadaceae.
GAGCGGUAACAGAAAGUAGCUUGCUACUUUGCUGACGAGCGGCGGACGGGUGAGUAAUGCUUGGGAACAUGCCUUGAGGUGGGGGACAACAGUUGGAAACGACUGCUAAUACCGCAUAAUGUCUACGGACCAAAGGGGGCUUCGGCUCUCGCCUUUAGAUUGGCCCAAGUGGGAUUAGCUAGUUGGUGAGGUAAUGGCUCACCAAGGCGACGAUCCCUAGCUGGUUUGAGAGGAUGAUCAGCCACACUGGGACUGAGACACGGCCCAGACUCCUACGGGAGGCAGCAGUGGGGAAUAUUGCACAAUGGGCGCAAGCCUGAUGCAGCCAUGCCGCGUGUGUGAAGAAGGCCUUCGGGUUGUAAAGCACUUUCAGUCAGGAGGAAAGCGUGGUGGUUAAUACCCAUCAUGUGUGACGUUACUGACAGAAGAAGCACCGGCUAACUCCGUGCCAGCAGCCGCGGUAAUACGGAGGGUGCGAGCGUUAAUCGGAAUUACUGGGCGUAAAGCGUACGCAGGCGGUUUGUUAAGCGAGAUGUGAAAGCCCCGGGCUCAACCUGGGAACUGCAUUUCGAACUGGCAAACUAGAGUGUGAUAGAGGGUGGUAGAAUUUCAGGUGUAGCGGUGAAAUGCGUAGAGAUCUGAAGGAAUACCGAUGGCGAAGGCAGCCACCUGGGUCAACACUGACGCUCAUGUACGAAAGCGUGGGGAGCAAACGGGAUUAGAUACCCCGGUAGUCCACGCCGUAAACGAUGUCUACUAGAAGCUCGGAGCCUCGGUUCUGUUUUUCAAAGCUAACGCAUUAAGUAGAC